RNAcentral lists this non-coding RNA (26 nucleotides) under Mus musculus (house mouse). Lineage: Eukaryota; Metazoa; Chordata; Mammalia; Rodentia; Muridae. The record is from RNAcentral.
UGCUGAAGCAGACACAGGUGGAAGGA